Molecule: ribosomal RNA, 318 nt
Filed under: Triticum aestivum (bread wheat)
Lineage: Eukaryota; Viridiplantae; Streptophyta; Magnoliopsida; Poales; Poaceae
Description: partial small subunit ribosomal RNA
Source: RNAcentral
AUGGGCAGGCAACACCCCGUCCACCCCUGCAACCUAAAUAGGAGGGACACCACCUCAGCUUCUCUUCAUCGGCAAGCUUGGUUGAGGCCAAGCUGCAUCGCCUCGUCCAGGGAAGAUACGCCUGUGACUCGUGACAAGAGGGGGCCCGUGGCCGCCGUCUGCCGAGCGGGCUUUGCUCGGCGGCUUCACCCGACGACAACGGUGGGAGCAUGGUGGUGGUGGGGAUGCUGGGAGCGGCAGAGUUCACCCAUGCCACCCUCCUUGGAGCAACUUGGGCGCAGUAAGCACACAGGGAGGAGUAGUGACACAAUGAGGUGA